AUUAAUCAUAAAAUGACUAGACUAACUCAUAUAAUUUUGAAAUUACUAGACUAACUCUCGAGGCAUGCAACUUUACGAUUUUGCCAUCACUAAUAAUUAAACCAUGAUUUUUUUUUGAUCAACCAUUAAACCAUAAUUAAAAAAUAUAUAUAUUUAAUAUUAUAAGAAAAAAACAAAUACUUUACGUCUUUAGCAUUUCUCCACCGAUGUCGACGAAACGCUCUUCUCGUCGUCUCGUCAUCUCCAUCUCUGACGCUCCCUUUUCCCUCACCGGCUUCGUCUCCGUCACCUCUACCGUGACUCGGACUUUGUCUCCGCCAUCCUCCACGAUAACUCACCUUCGUCUCUUUCCUAUUGGACAAACCCGAAAUCGAUUUCACCUCAGUCACAGGCUUCAACUACAAUCUACUCUAAUCUGUCUAUGAACUAGUGUGGUACUUGAAACCACCAAAACAAACUCUAUGUUAACAAGUCUGUCCUCAAUAAGGAGGCCCCCAGGAUGGCCAAAGCUGUUGCCAACCAGGCAGUGGACAACUACUACAAACCUGAUUUAAAGAAGACAGCACUUGCUAGGUGCAGCGUGAUCAGCAAAGGCCUUAGAGUCGCCAAGUCUCAUCUCAAGAAGAGGAACAUGCAGGCUUGAAGAUUUGGCCAUUGACUGAAGAUUUUACUUCUGAAAAAGCUAUGAUUUGUGAUUUCAGACAAAAUUUUAUAGGUUAUAAAGAUUUUUCAUGGAUAGUUCAGUUUCUUGCUUGUAACACCUCCACUGUUAUGUUUUUUUUUCUCAGAAUGAUAUUAAAUAAAAAGUAGUAAGCUGGUUGCUGUC
This is a long non-coding RNA of Raphanus sativus (radish), 826 nucleotides long. RefSeq lists it as uncharacterized. Lineage: Eukaryota; Viridiplantae; Streptophyta; Magnoliopsida; Brassicales; Brassicaceae. The transcript has 3 exons. The record is from RefSeq and is a predicted model, not a curated record.